This 483-nucleotide ribosomal RNA is filed under the name uncultured bacterium. RNAcentral describes it as "partial 16S ribosomal RNA". It matches the Rfam family "Bacterial small subunit ribosomal RNA", at positions 28 to 507 of the family's 1533-position model. The record is from RNAcentral.
GACGAACGCUGGCGGCGUGCUUAACACAUGCAAGUCGAACGCUGAAGCUCAGCUUUUGUUGGGUGGAUGAGUGGCGAACGGGUGAGUAACACGUGAGUAACCUGCCUCCUUCUUUGGGAUAACGCCCGGAAACGGGUGCUAAUACUGGAUAUUCACUGGUCUUCGCAUGGGGGUUGGUGGAAAGGGUUUUUCUGGUGGGGGAUGGGCUCGCGGCCUAUCAGCUUGUUGGUGGGGUGAUGGCCUACCAAGGCUUUGACGGGUAGCCGGCCUGGGAGGGUGACCGGUCACAUUGGGACUGAGAUACGGCCCAGACUCCGACGGGAGGCAGCAGUGGGGAAUAUUGCACAAUGGGCGAAAGCCUGAUGCAGCGACGCCGCGUGAGGGAUGGAGGCCUUCGGGUUGUGAACCUCUUUCGCUCAUGGUCAAGCCGCAACAAUGGUUGUGGUGAGGGUAGUGGGUAAAGAAGCGCCGGCUAACUACGUG